ACGGGAGGCGGCAGUGAGGAAUAUUGGUCAAUGGUCGGAAGACUGAACCAGCAAAGUCGCGUGCAGGAAGAUGGUCCUAUGGAUUUUAAACUGCUUUUGUACGGGACUAAAGUGCGGGACGUGUCCCGUUUGGAAUGUACCGUAAGAAUAAGGGUCGGCUAACUACGUGCCAGCAGCCGCGGUAAUACGGCGGACCCGAGCGUUAUCCGGAUUUAUUGGGUUUUAAGGGUGCGCAGGCGGAGGAUUAAGUCAGCGGGGAAAUUUUCAUGCUCAACAAGAAACCUGCCAUUGAUACUGGUCCCCUUGAGAGAUGUCGAGGAUGGCGGAAUGUGAUGUGUAGCGGUGAAAUGCUUAGAUAUGUCACAGAACACCGAUUGCGAAGGCAGCUGUCCAGAGAUCAUCUGACGCUCAGGCACGAAAGCAUGGGUAUCAAACAGGAUUAGAUACCCUGGUA
RNAcentral lists this ribosomal RNA (454 nucleotides) under uncultured Porphyromonadaceae bacterium. RNAcentral describes it as "partial 16S ribosomal RNA". It matches the Rfam family "Bacterial small subunit ribosomal RNA", at positions 341 to 792 of the family's 1533-position model. Lineage: Bacteria; Pseudomonadati; Bacteroidota; Bacteroidia; Bacteroidales; Porphyromonadaceae. The record is from RNAcentral.